CCAAACUUGGUCAUUUAGAGGAAGUAAAAGUCGUAACAAGGUCUCCGUAGGUGAACCUGCGGAGGGAUCAUUACAGAGUUGUAAAACUCCCAAAACCCAUUGCGAAUCUUACCUGUUGUCUUUGUUGCUUCGGCAGGCGGUCCCAGGGCGGGACCUUUGCCUCUUGCAGGCGCCUGCCGGAGGACCACACACUCUUGUUAUUUGUUAUUCUGAAUAUCUAAAGUCUCUGCGACGAGACUAAAUAAGUCAAAACCUUCAACAACGGAUCUCUUGGCUCUGGCAUCGAUGAAGAACGCAGC
RNAcentral lists this unclassified non-coding RNA (299 nucleotides) under uncultured fungus. Its description in RNAcentral is "partial contains small subunit ribosomal RNA, internal transcribed spacer 1, and 5.8S ribosomal RNA". The stretch from base 1 to 73 matches the Rfam family "Eukaryotic small subunit ribosomal RNA", at positions 1759 to 1831 of the family's 1831-position model. Lineage: Eukaryota; Fungi. The record is from RNAcentral.